This 446-nucleotide ribosomal RNA is filed under the name uncultured bacterium. Its description in RNAcentral is "partial 16S ribosomal RNA". It matches the Rfam family "Bacterial small subunit ribosomal RNA", at positions 338 to 795 of the family's 1533-position model. The record is from RNAcentral.
CCUACGGGGGGCUGCAGUCGAGAAUCAUUCACAAUGGGGGAAACCCUGAUGGUGCGACGCCGCGUGGGGGAAUGAAGGUCUUCGGAUUGUAAACCCCUGUCAUGUGGGAGCAAAUUAAAAAGAUAGUACCACAAGAGGAAGAGACGGCUAACUCUGUGCCAGCAGCCGCGGUAAUACAGAGGUCUCAAGCGUUGUUCGGAAUCACUGGGCGUAAAGCGUGCGUAGGCUGUUUCGUAAGUCGUGUGUGAAAGGCGCGGGCUCAACCCGCGGACGGCACAUGAUACUGCGAGACUAGAGUAAUGGAGGGGGAGCCGGAAUUCUCGGUGUAGCAGUGAAAUGCGUAGAUAUCGAGAGGAACACUCGUGGCGAAGGCGGGUUCCUAGACAUUAACUGACGCUGGGGCACGAAGGCCAGGGGAGCGAAAGGGAUUAGAUACCCGGGUAGUC